Molecule: ribosomal RNA, 827 nt
Filed under: Hamigera terricola
Lineage: Eukaryota; Fungi; Ascomycota; Eurotiomycetes; Eurotiales; Aspergillaceae
Description: partial large subunit ribosomal RNA
Rfam family: Eukaryotic large subunit ribosomal RNA
Source: RNAcentral
AUUGCCUCAGUAACGGCGAGUGAAGCGGCAAGAGCUCAAAUUUGAAAUCUGGCCCCUCCGGGGUCCGAGUUGUAAUUUGCAGAGGAUGCUUCGGAUACGGCCCCCGUCUAAGUGCCCUGGAACGGGCCGUCGGAGAGGGUGAGAAUCCCGUCUGGGACGGGGUGUCCGUGUCCGUGUGAAGCUCCUUCGACGAGUCGAGUUGUUUGGGAAUGCAGCUCUAAAUGGGUGGUAAAUUUCAUCUAAAGCUAAAUAUUGGCCGGAGACCGAUAGCGCACAAGUAGAGUGAUCGAAAGAUGAAAAGCACUUUGAAAAGAGAGUUAAACAGCACGUGAAAUUGUUGAAAGGGAAGCGCUUGCGACCAGACUCGCCGACGGGGUUCAGCCGGGAUUCGUCCCGGUGUACUUCCCCGCCGGCGGGCCAGCGUCGGUUUGGGCGGCCGGUCAAAGGCCUCCGGAAUGUAUCGCCCUCCGGGGCGUCUUAUAGCCGGAGGUGCAAUGCGGCCUGCCCGGACCGAGGAACGCGCUUCGGCACGGACGCUGGCAUAAUGGUCGUAAGCGACCCGUCUUGAAACACGGACCAAGGAGUCUAACAUCUACGCGAGUGUUCGGGUGUCAAACCCGUGCGCGCAGUGAAAGCGAACGGAGGUGGGAACCCCUCGGGGUGCACCAUCGACCGAUCCUGAUGUCUUCGGAUGGAUUUGAGUAGGAGCGUAGCUGUUGGGACCCGAAAGAUGGUGAACUAUGCCUGAAUAGGGCGAAGCCAGAGGAAACUCUGGUGGAGGCUCGCAGCGGUUCUGACGUGCAAAUCGAUCGUCGAAUUUGGGUAUA